GACGAACGCUGGCGGCGUGCUUAACACAUGCAAGUCGAACGGAAAGGCCCUGCUUUGGUGGGGUGCUCGAGUGGCGAACGGGUGAGUAACACGUGAGUAACCUGCCCGUUACUUUGGGAUAACUUCAGGAAACGGGGGCUAAUACCGGAUAGUAGCACCUGCUGCAUGGUGGUGGUUGGAAAGGUUCGGCGGCUGGGGUAGGACUCGGGGCUGAGCUGCUUGUUGGUGGGGUAGUGGUUUACGAUGGCUUUGACGGGUAGCCGGCCUGAGAGGGUGACGGGCCACAUUGGGCCUGGGAUACGGCCCAGACUCCUACGGGAGCAAGCAGUGGGGAAUAGUGCACAAUGGGCGGAAGCCUGAUGCAGCAACUCCGCGUGCGAGAUGACGGCCUUCGGGUUGUAAACCGCUUUCGACUGUAAAGAAGCGUGAGUGACGGUAAUGGGUAAAGAAGCACCGGCUAACUACGUG
This 468-nucleotide ribosomal RNA is filed under the name uncultured bacterium. RNAcentral describes it as "partial 16S ribosomal RNA". It matches the Rfam family "Bacterial small subunit ribosomal RNA", at positions 28 to 507 of the family's 1533-position model. The record is from RNAcentral.